Molecule: non-coding RNA, 237 nt
Organism: Paramuricea clavata
Lineage: Eukaryota; Metazoa; Cnidaria; Anthozoa; Malacalcyonacea; Plexauridae
Source: the annotation of a GenBank genome assembly
CCCAAUAAUUUGCUAAUAAUCAUACUUAUUUGAAAACCAGGUAUUACCCAUACUUUCCUCCAACUUAUUCAAUAUAUAGUUAAUUAAAUACGCCUUCGCCCAUUUAGUACUAAAUUGCAAGUUUCGACAUACUAAAACGCUGUUUUCUGACAAUUAGAAUUCUGUCAAAUAUUCCCCAAAGUCCAGGAAUUCGAAAUGGCAUUUCAGAGACUCUAAAUUUAAAAAUUUCCUUGGGCC